This 746-nucleotide ribosomal RNA is filed under the name uncultured Pezizales. Its description in RNAcentral is "eukaryotic LSU rRNA". The stretch from base 207 to 360 matches the Rfam family "5.8S ribosomal RNA". The record is from RNAcentral. Lineage: Eukaryota; Fungi; Ascomycota; Pezizomycetes; Pezizales.
UCCCRNNNGGUNKUUCAGUAGGCAGUACCUCACGAGAGGGUCAUUACAGAGUUCAUGCCUUCACGGGUAGAUCUCCCACCCUUSMMUAUUUUAUACCUUUGUUGCUUUGGCGGGCCGCUUCGGCUACCGGCUUUGGCUGGUGAGUGCCCGCCAGAGGACCCCAAAUUCUGAAUUAUAGUGUCGUCUGAGUACUAUAAAAUAGUUAAAACUUUCAACAACGGAUCUCUUGGUUCUGGCAUCGAUGAAGAACGCAGCGAAAUGCGAUAAGUAAUGUGAAUUGCAGAAUUCAGUGAAUCAUCGAAUCUUUGAACGCACAUUGCGCCCCUUGGUAUUCCGAGGGGCAUGCCUGUUCGAGCGUCAUUAUAACCCCUCAAGCUCAGCUUGGUGUUGGGGCCUGCCGCACGGGCAGCCCUUAAAAUCAGUGGCGGUGCCAUCUGGCUCUAAGCGUAGUAAUUCUUCUCGCUAUAGAGUCACGGUGGAUGCUUGCCAUUAACCCCCAAUUUUCAAUGGUUGACCUCGGAUCAGGUAGGGAUACCCGCUGAACUUAAGCAUAUCAAUAAGCGGAGGAACGUGGAUUUGGCUCUGCCUCUUUUGAGACCUGCUUCUAAUCGUCUCGUUGAGACGGCCGUCAGAUUCACCCUUUCUUUCUUCACGUAAAGAAGAGGUGGACCUUUUGACCCACGAACCCUUUGACCUCAAAUCGGUGAUACUACCCGCUGAACUUAGCAUAUYUUUWCUGGAGGAAA